Long non-coding RNA from Acinonyx jubatus (cheetah), 614 nucleotides. RefSeq lists it as uncharacterized. The record is from RefSeq and is a predicted model, not a curated record. NCBI's taxonomy places the organism in Eukaryota, Metazoa, Chordata, Mammalia, Carnivora, Felidae. The transcript is spliced from 2 exons.
GCCAGGUGGAGCCCCGCCCGGCCCCGCCCUCCACGGCGAUUGGCCGGCGCCCCGCCCCUGCGCGCUCCCAUUGGCGGAGGGAGUCGCCGCUCCCGCUGAGUGAUUCACCGUCGCCAGGUGCAACCUCGGCCCCCGGCUCCCCGCCCCCCGGCGCUUGGCGCCUUUCCAAGCAGGAGCCGCCUCCGAUUGGCCCGCGGGCCCGUCGCGUCCGGGGACCAGUGCGCACCUUCUGCAGCGUCACAAGCUUCGAGAGGGGGCGCGCAGAGAGGAGGAAAGGGAAGGGAGCCCUCAACUCCAAGGCGGGAAAAGCAGAAUUACCUUCUCUCAAGAACUUUAAACAUCCGAUGGGGACACCCACACCCGGAUAGUACAAGCUGACCGACAGACAGAUGCUCUACAGACAUCACCGUGAGAGCCAGGAUUUGCCCUUUACGCACGUCCGAUGUGUCAGCGAAACGCUACGUUUCAAAAUUGUUUAUCCUCUCCCUGUGACUCACAGUCGGGUGCUGACUAAGCCCCUCUUGCUAUAGACUAUGUUAACACUCGAGCUUUCUGUUAAUGUUUACAUUGUUGUGUCAUUUUCUUUUAAUUGAAACUCACGCUCACCACCUUUA